GCUUCCUUCAGCAGCACAUACUAAAACUGGAACAAUACAGAUACAAUUAGCAUAGCCCCUGUGCAGGAUGACACACAAAUUUGUGAAGUGUUCCCUACUAAA
Molecule: small nuclear RNA, 102 nt
Organism: Talpa occidentalis (Iberian mole)
Lineage: Eukaryota; Metazoa; Chordata; Mammalia; Eulipotyphla; Talpidae
Source: RefSeq, a predicted model, not a curated record